GAUCGAAUGGGGAGAUUCAUCGUCAGCUCAUUUUGUAUAUGUAUGAGUUAUGAUAUAGGUUACUCUUGUAGUAUUGCUUGUACAUACUUGUACAUUUAUUUGCAAGAUGUUGUCGGCGUGCACUUCUCCCCUAGUAGGACGUCGCGACCCGUUGGGUGUUGGUCUACGACCUAAGUGGUAGCCUUUAAUGUUUAACAACAUUAAAGACCCUUAGUGUUUCUGACCAGCUGCCCGGCGGUACUCGUACGGUAUUUAGCCGCAUUUUAUGCGUCCAUAUCCGUCGCAAGCGAGACUAGUUUCUGACAGUACGGACCUAGUGCCGUCGUUGGAGCUAGUCAGCUGUUGGUUGUAACGGUAUUCUAGGACUGGCUAAAAUAAAUUACCGGUCGGCGAUGCUACUGCUUUGGGUACUUUCAGGACCCGUCUUGAAACACGGACCAAGGAGUCUAACAUGUGCGCGAGUCAUUGGGAUUUUUUUUCAAUUAAACCUAAAGGCGUAAUGAAAGUAAAGGUCGUCCUUGCGUCGACCGAGGGAGGAUAAGUUGUAUUAAGAUACAGCUUCGCACUCCCGGGGCGUCUCAUUCUCAUUGCGAGAAGAGGCGCACCUAGAGCGUACACGUUGGGACCC
Molecule: ribosomal RNA, 628 nt
Filed under: Notiospathius sp. 60 AZR-2013
Lineage: Eukaryota; Metazoa; Arthropoda; Insecta; Hymenoptera; Braconidae
Description: eukaryotic LSU rRNA
Rfam family: Eukaryotic large subunit ribosomal RNA
Source: RNAcentral